This 497-nucleotide ribosomal RNA is filed under the name uncultured bacterium. Its description in RNAcentral is "partial 16S ribosomal RNA". It matches the Rfam family "Bacterial small subunit ribosomal RNA", at positions 28 to 507 of the family's 1533-position model. The record is from RNAcentral.
GAUGAACGCUGGCGGCGUGCCUAAUACAUGCAAGUCGAGCGAACGGACGAGAAGCUUGCUUCUCUGAUGUUAGCGGCGGACGGGUGAGUAACACGUGGAUAACCUACCUAUAAGACUGGGAUAACUUCGGGAAACCGGAGCUAAUACCGGAUAAUAUUUUGAACCGCAUGGUUCAAAAGUGAAAGACGGUCUUGCUGUCACUUAUAGAUGGAUCCGCGCUGCAUUAGCUAGUUGGUAAGGUAACGGCUUACCAAGGCAACGAUGCAUAGCCGACCUGAGAGGGUGAUCGGCCACACUGGAACUGAGACACGGUCCAGACUCCUACGGGAGGCAGCAGUAGGGAAUCUUCCGCAAUGGGCGAAAGCCUGACGGAGCAACGCCGCGUGAGUGAUGGAGGUCUUCGGAUCGUAAAACUCUGUUAUUAGUGAAGAACAUAUGUGUAAGUAACUGUGCACAUCUUGACGGUACCUAAUCAGAAAGCCACGGCUAACUACGUG